Molecule: long non-coding RNA, 229 nt
Filed under: Elaeis guineensis (African oil palm)
Lineage: Eukaryota; Viridiplantae; Streptophyta; Magnoliopsida; Arecales; Arecaceae
Description: long non-coding RNA (EGUI_LNC025461)
Source: RNAcentral
ACGCACAAGACUAUAGAGCGGAUCUUAUUUUGGCUAAUAUUGAUGGAGGGUUAUCGAGUAUGCUCUUCGAUUUACUUUCAAGGCUUCGAAUAAUCAAGUUGAAUAUGAAGCCUUGAUAGUCAGAUUGAGAGUUGCCUAGAUCUUGAUGAAAAGUGACUAAAAAUUUUCACUAACUCGCAACUAAUAGCUAGAUAAGCCCAAGGAGAAUACGAAGCAUAAGAUCCAAUCC